GGCUCACCAAGGCAACGAUACGUAGCCGACCUGAGAGGGUGAUCGGCCACACUGGAACUGAGACACGGUCCAGACUCCUACGGGAGGCAGCAGUAGGGAAUCUUCCGCAAUGGGCGAAAGCCUGACGGAGCAACGCCGCGUGAGUGAUGAAGGUCUUCGGAUCGUAAAGCUCUGUUGUUAGGGAAGAACAAAUGUGUAAGUAACUAUGCACAUCUUGACGGUACCUAACCAGAAAGCCACGGCUAACUACGUGCCAGCAGCCGCGGUAAUACGUAGGUGGCAAGCGUUAUCCGGAAUUAUUGGGCGUAAAGCGCGCGUAGGCGGUUUUUUAAGUCUGAUGUGAAAGCCCACGGCUCAACCGUGGAGGGUCAUUGGAAACUGGAAAACUUGAGUGCAGAAGAGGAAAGUGGAAUUCCAUGUGUAGCGGUGAAAUGCGCAGAGAUAUGGAGGAACACCAGUGGCGAAGGCGGCUUUCUGGUCUGUAACUGACGCUGAUGUGCGAAAGCGUGGGGAUCAAACAGGAUUAGAUACCCUGGUAGUCCACGCCGUAAACGAUGAGUGCUAAGUGUUAGGGGGUUUCCGCCCCUUAGUGCUGCAGCUAACGCAUUAAGCACUCCGCCUGGGGAGUACGGUCGCAAGACUGAAACUCAAAGGAAUUGACGGGGACCCGCACAAGCGGUGGAGCAUGUGGUUUAAUUCGAAGCAACGCGAAGAACCUUACCAAAUCUUGACAUCUUUUGACCACUCUAGAGAUAGAGUUUUCCUCUUCGGAGGACAAAAUGACAGGUGGUGCAUGGUUGUCGUCAGCUCGUGUCGUGAGAUGUUGGGUUAAGUCCCGCAACGAGCGCAACCCUUGAGCUUAGUUGCCAUCAUUAAGUUGGGCACUCUAAGUUGACUGCCGGUGACAAACCGGAGGAAGGUGGGGAUGACGUCAAAUCAUCAUGCCCCUUAUGAUUUGGGCUACACACGUGCUACAAUGGACAAUACAAAGGGCAGCAAAACCGCGAGGUCAAGCAAAUCCCAUAAAGUUGUUCUCAGUUCGGAUUGUAGUCUGCAACUCGACUACAUGAAGCUGGAAUCGCUAGUAAUCGUAGAUCAGCAUGCUACGGUGAAUACGUUCCCGGGUCUUGUACACACCGCCCGUCACACCACGAGAGUUUGUAACACCCGAAGCCGGUGGAGUAACCAUUUGGAGCUAGCCGUCGAAGGUGGGACAAAUGAUUGGGGUGAAGUCGUAACAAGGUAGCCGUAUCGGAAGGUGCGGCUGGAUCACCUCCUUU
This 1280-nucleotide ribosomal RNA is filed under the name Staphylococcus chromogenes. RNAcentral describes it as "bacterial SSU rRNA". It matches the Rfam family "Bacterial small subunit ribosomal RNA", at positions 262 to 1533 of the family's 1533-position model. The record is from RNAcentral. Lineage: Bacteria; Bacillati; Bacillota; Bacilli; Caryophanales; Staphylococcaceae.